Molecule: long non-coding RNA, 107 nt
Organism: Aricia agestis (brown argus)
Lineage: Eukaryota; Metazoa; Arthropoda; Insecta; Lepidoptera; Lycaenidae
Exons: 3
Source: RefSeq, a predicted model, not a curated record
AAAAAAUUUUUUCGUCUUUCAGCGCUGCUACUUUCACACCGAAAACUAUAUAGGGGACCCAUUCACACCCUUAAGUAUUAUCACUCAGUUUUGUUACACCCUGUAUA